Molecule: long non-coding RNA, 89 nt
Organism: Haliotis rubra (blacklip abalone)
Lineage: Eukaryota; Metazoa; Mollusca; Gastropoda; Lepetellida; Haliotidae
Exons: 3
Source: RefSeq, a predicted model, not a curated record
ACUGACUGAUCGAGUUGGUUUUAUCGCCGCUUUUAGCAAUAUUCCAGCAAUAUCACGUCGGGGGACACCAGAAAUGGGCUUCACACAUU